GAUCCUGGCUCGGGACGAACGCUGGCGGCGCGCCUAACACAUGCAAGUCGAACGAGCGAGAGAGAGCUUGCUUUCUCAAGCGAGUGGCGAACGGGUGAGUAACGCGUGAGGAACCUGCCUCAAAGAGGGGGACAACAGUUGGAAACGACUGCUAAUACCGCAUAAGCCCACAGCUCGGCAUCGAGCAGAGGGAAAAGGAGCAAUCCGCUUUGAGAUGGCCUCGCGUCCGAUUAG
This 234-nucleotide ribosomal RNA is filed under the name uncultured bacterium. RNAcentral's name for it is "partial 16S ribosomal RNA". It matches the Rfam family "Bacterial small subunit ribosomal RNA", at positions 15 to 244 of the family's 1533-position model. The record is from RNAcentral.